CUAUCCUACUGGAGCUGGAGUUAGAAGGAGGGUGCUACAGUCUCAACAUGUCCCCCAAAAUUCAUGUGUUGAAACAUAACAGCCAAUGUGACAGUAUUAAGAGGUAGGGCAUUUCACGGAUGAGUCAUCACGGUGGAGCCUUCACAGAUGGGAUUAGGGCCCUUAUAAAAGGGCUUGAGGACAUAGGUUUGUUGGCUUCUGCUCUUCUGACAUGUGAGGACACAGCAUUCCUUCCCUUUUGCUCUUCUGUCCUUUCUACCACCGGAAGACACAAGCGUCCCUCCCCUCCAGAGGAUGCAGCAACAGGUGCCAUCCUGGACGCAGAGAGUCGCCCUCAACAGACAACUGAACCUGCCGGCAGCUUGAUUUUGGACUUCCCGGCCUGCAGAACUGUGAGAAAGAGAUUUCCAGUUACAAAUGACUUAGUCUCAGAAAAAGUCUGCUGGCUGCUGAUUUGAAACAUUCAAGGAAGUGUCCUGGAUGCAGCUCGGGCCUUUGACUGAAGUCCAAGACAGCGGCAAGGGGAGUCCCUUGCUGGCUCCUCUGAGCACUGGCCGCUUCGUAGGAAAAGCUGGAUUUUCAAAGGAGUCCUAGAGAAGCCUUCCUUCCGAGAGCUACCGAGAAAUGCUGGCUGAGUCAGCGGCCCUUGUCAAGCCGGGAGAGGAAGGUAUUG
RNAcentral lists this long non-coding RNA (673 nucleotides) under Callithrix jacchus (white-tufted-ear marmoset). RNAcentral describes it as "lncRNA (ENSCJAG00000065746.2)". Lineage: Eukaryota; Metazoa; Chordata; Mammalia; Primates; Cebidae. The record is from RNAcentral.